ACCGUAUAGGGGAGCCGGAGGGAAACCGAGUCUUAAUUGGGCGUUAAGUUGCAGGGUAUAGACCCGAAACCCGGUGAUCUAGCCAUGGGCAGGUUGAAGGUUGGGUAACACUAACUGGAGGACCGAACCGACUAAUGUUGAAAAAUUAGCGGAUGACCUGUGGCUGGGGGUGAAAGGCCAAUCAAACCGGGAGAUAGCUGGUUCUCCCCGAAAGCUAUUUAGGUAGCGCCUCGUGAAUUCAUCUCCGGGGGUAGAGCACUGUUUCGGCUAGGGGGCCAUCCCGGCUUACCAACCCGAUGCAAACUGCGAAUACCGGAGAAUGUUAUCACGGGAGACACACGGCGGGUGCUAACGUCCGUCGUGAAGAGGGAAACAACCCAGACCGCCAGCUAAGGUCCCAAAGUCAUGGUUAAGUGGGAAACGAUGUGGGAAGGCCCAGACAGCCAGGAUGUUGGCUUAGAAGCAGCCAUCAUUUAAAGAAAGCGUAAUAGCUCACUGGUCGAGUCGGCCUGCGCGGAAGAUGUAACGGGGCUAAACCAUG
This 541-nucleotide ribosomal RNA is filed under the name Salmonella enterica subsp. enterica serovar Paratyphi B var. L(+) tartrate +. RNAcentral describes it as "partial 23S ribosomal RNA". It matches the Rfam family "Bacterial large subunit ribosomal RNA", at positions 649 to 1191 of the family's 2925-position model. Lineage: Bacteria; Pseudomonadati; Pseudomonadota; Gammaproteobacteria; Enterobacterales; Enterobacteriaceae. The record is from RNAcentral.